GGAAAGUUGCAAAGAACUUUGAAGAGAGAGUUCAAGAGAACGUGAAAUCGCUAAAGUGGAACCGGAGAGAGUUAACAUAACUUGGUAGCUAUAUUCUCUAAAGUCGCUUAACUGUGGCUCUGGGGGGUGGACGCUACCUGUUGUUGCACUGACUGCGUUGAUUGUGCUUUCCGAACAGUAUAGUGUUGCCCACUUUGUGGUGUCUUGCUUUCUGGGAGGUUUGUCAUGAUUAACGUAAAGCCAAUUCCCUUUGGAGUCAGUGUGAAAGUUAACCACCUUUCCGACCCGUCUUGAAACACGGACCGAGGAGUGUAAUUUAUACGCGAGUCAAGGGGUGGUGAAAACCCUAGGGGCGGAAUGAAAGUAAAGGCCGGUUAACCGGUUGACAUGGGAUCCGCUCUUCGGAGCGGCGCACCAUGGCCCUGUCUUGUCUGCUUGCAGAUGGGCAGCGGUAGAGCGUAUAGUUUGCGACCCGAAA
Molecule: ribosomal RNA, 478 nt
Filed under: Heterorhabditis bacteriophora
Lineage: Eukaryota; Metazoa; Nematoda; Chromadorea; Rhabditida; Heterorhabditidae
Also listed under: 3 other names
Description: eukaryotic LSU rRNA
Rfam family: Eukaryotic large subunit ribosomal RNA
Source: RNAcentral